Molecule: small nuclear RNA, 93 nt
Filed under: Castor canadensis (American beaver)
Lineage: Eukaryota; Metazoa; Chordata; Mammalia; Rodentia; Castoridae
Source: RNAcentral
GUGCUUGCUUCAGCAGCACAUGUACUAAAAUUGCAAUGAUACAGAGGAGUAGCAUGGUCCCUACACAAGGGACCAUGGUUUUUUCAUAUUUAA